CCCCUCCCCAUGAUAGGCCCCGGUGUGUGAUGUUCCCCUUCCUGAGUCCAAGUGAUCUCAUUGUUCAGCUCCCACCUAUGAGUGAGAACAUGCGGUGUUUGGUUUUCUGUUCUUGUGAUAGUUUGCUGAGAAUGAUGGUUUCCAGCUGCAUCCAUGUCCCUACAAAGGACACAAACUCAUCCUUUUUUAUGGCUGCAUAGUAUUCCAUGGGUAUAUGUGCCACAUUUUCUUAAUCCAGUCUGUCACUGAUGGACAUUUGGGUUGAUUCCAAGUCUUUACUAUUGUGAAUAGUACCGCAAUAAACAUAUGUGUGCAUGUGUCUUUAUAGCAGCAUGAUUUAUAAUCCUUUGGGUAUAUAUCCAGUAAUGGGAUGGCUGGGUCAUAUGGUACUUCUAGUUCUAGAUCCUUGAGGAAUCGCCAUACUGUUUUCCAUAAUGGUUGAACUAGUUUACAAUCCCACCAACAGUGUAAAAGUGUUCCUGUUUCUCCACAUCCUCAGAGGUUCUUUGAACUCAGAACCUGAGUAAACUCAGUCAUUCAGCAUCUAAUCACUCAGCAAACAUGCCAAACACUGUUCUAGACACUGGAGGUACAAUGGAGAGCAAGACAGACAUUGGCUCUAACCUCAGAAAGCUUGCAUUCUAAUAGAGGAGAGAAACAAACAAAUACAUAAAAGAAAACUGCGAUUUUCUAGGUUCCAGUUUGCCAUCAACUCACCAUCUGGGAUUAUAAACUCAAAAGAGAAAAAUAUCCAAGGGCAAUGGCAACUUUAUGGUGUGAAAAGAGACCUGAAGACACAGGCUUUUUGGAGAUGCAGGAAAGAGAAGCCGUUAGAUCAUCAAGAAGUGAGCUGAGACAACUUCAAGUUCAGCACCUACGGGAGUUGGAACCAAGGGAGAAGUGUCUCUUCGAAAAGUCAAAAACAGUGAGGGAGACCAAGAUGCAUAGAGCAAGAGAUGGGAUGAAACAUAUGCUGGUUUCUCAUGAAAGUUACAAAACUCUAUUGGGGUGUGUGUGUGUGUGUGUGUGUGUGUGUGUGUGUGUGUGUGUGUUUUGGGGGCAAUGCUGGUAAUGGGGAGCUCACAGUGUUAAAUAUAUAGCAAAGACAGAAAAAUGAUGACUUGGGACAAGCUAUUGAAAUAAUAACUUGAUGUCUAGCAGAUCAGGAUGCUUUUGAAUAAUCUGAUGUGGGGAAACAAAACAGCCAGUAAAUUGUGAAGGAGUAAAGGUAAAAGUUAAGCUAGUCUAUAUGCAUUACUAUUUAUUCACUCAUUUACUGUUUUCAUUCAUUUAUUUGACACAUACUUGUUGAGCAUCUACUGGGGCUGGGCAUCUUUUAGAAAAUGGGAACACCAAUGAAUCAGACACUGCCCUACCCUCAUGGAUCUUAUAAAAGCUAUUCUUUGACAAGAUGAGACUUUUCUUCUUCAAUUCUGGUAAAUUCAGUGGACCAUAUAAUUCAUUUCAAACUGUUUUCAUGUAGGAGAGAUUUGUGUAUGAUUGAGAGCAAGGAAAAGAGGCUUAGAAGGGGAAUUCAAACAUUGAAGACACAAAAGAAAAAAUAAAUAAUAAAAUACCGUGAUCUCUUUGAAAUUGAGAAUUAGAUGAAAUGAAAGAAAUAUAAAAAGGUAGUUUGGCCCUGUGGGGAAGAUGAGCUGUUCUUCCUCUGACACAGAAAAGAAGGAAGAAAGAACAUGCUGGAAGCAGAGCAAAGAAGAGGUAAGACACUGUAGUUAUUUUAAAUAUCCACCUGUUGAUAUACACAGGCUUAGAGACAUUACUGAAAGUAUAAGCCAUUUUUAAAGAUAAACAGUGCUCGCAUAUGUAUAUGUUACAUCCAAAGCCCAUAGUGUCUAAACAUAUCAAUGUUUAAUUAUUAUUUGAAUAAUAAAUUAAAAUUUGGUUGAUAUUUUACUUCUGUUUAUUAUUGACUAAUCAUUGCUUAACUCAUCACUACAAUUCUUACUGGUGGCUUUGAUAUCAACAUGUGGUUUGACGAACCUCCCAUAGUGACGAAUCAUUCUUCGAUUCCCCAGGUUAAUUUGAAAAUGAUCCGAAGAUACACACAUAGGGUGUCUUAUUCUGUUUGUGCUGCUAUAACAAAAUCCUACAAAUGGGUAAUUUAUGAAGAACAGAAAUUUAUUUCUCACAGUUAUGAAGGCUGGGAAGUCCAGAAUCAAGUUAAUGGUAGUUUUAGUGUCUGAUGAGGGGCCCAGCCUCACCUUCCUAGAUGCAUUCUCUGAAAGGCAGGAAUGCUGUGUCUUUACAAGGCCAAAGGAGUAGAAAAGGGAAAGAACUGAAUGCUAUGUGGAGCCUCUUUAAUAAGGACUCAAUACCAUUCAUAAGAAAGGAGCUCUCAUGAUGUAAUUACUUCUUAAAGUCUCCAUGCCUUAAUUCUAUCACAUUGGCCAUUCAAUUUCAGCACAUGAACUUUGGAGAAGACUCAUUCAAACCAAAGCAUAGGGAGAACUUCAGGCUAAGCAUAUAGGUUGUUUUGUUUGGGACCUAUAUAUGGAUCUCAUCAGUCAUUUAGGACUGAGAACUGUUGAAAUGUUCAAGCUACUAUUUGAGGAUGACAUUUUGUGGCUCUUGAGAAGGGAAGUUCAUUAUUUAGGGAGACAUUUGAUUUAGGUGGUUGCUAUGACCCAACUAACUCUAGAAGUCUACAAGUCAAUUGAUCUCUCCCUGUUUUUGCUUCAUCCAACAAAGCAGGCUUUGGUCUAUCCAGGCUGGUCAUCAAGGUUUCUGAAAUAAUUGAUUUGUCCAAGAGACAAUCAGUUCAAUGCUCCAUUUCUUAGUUUAAUAGGAGACAUUAUAACCCUCUUAAACCUCAUUCUAUCCCCUCAGAAAAAUAGCAUUCAUUUCAGUAGCUACAGCUGGCCUCUGUCUUUAUAACUCUUUGGUGUUCAGCAAGACAGCCGUACUGUAGCUGCAAGCUAUUACAACAACACACUGACUUCCAGAUUUACAACUGUGUGCUUGUCAUUUCCAGAUGUAGUUUUACUAAGACAGUUGUGCAGGAAACAUUGUGAGAAGCAGCAGAUUUCCAGUAAAACAUGCCUAUAAACACUAUGGUUUCUGGCAAAGAGGGGAAAAAAAAGGUUUACACCCAGAUGCCUUAAAAAUAUAUAGUCUACCUUUUGUUCAUAUUUACCCUGAGGGUUUAAAUGUGAUCUACAGCUUUGGUUUUUGUUUUGUUUGUCCCACCCUGACACUGGAGCAACCUAUCUAGACUCCUGUGUCCUGUAAAUGGUUUGAACACUGUUUUAAUUGCCUAUUGUUCUACUAACAACUUAGGAAUUUUCUAAUACAAAGUAAGAAUCUUAACUACGCAAGCAAUUGCUGUAGGUUUUCUGAAUUGAUCUCCAUAAUCUAUAAGCCUCUGAGCAGUGCUUGGACAGGUUAAUUUGAAAGCAGAAACCAAAACUUCCUGUGGGAAGUCACAGACCCACAAUUUCAUGAAUAUUUUUUCUACAUUCCAUUGAAUAUGCUGCCUUUUUCCCUUAGCAUAAGCCUACAUGAUUCAAAAGACAUGUUUUGGCAGGAAGCGAAUUAACACAUAUGGGUGUGGGUGGCAGUGUCUUAAUGCCCCACCUGGGUCCACCCUUAUUAUCAGCCAUGACUGAAUCUAUAUAAUACUAAGUCAAGGAAGAAAUUGGUUAUGACAGACUCAACCCUCAUCAAAGUUAGGAAGUAGAUGAAAUAUACUGACUCCAUGUCUGUUAUCCUUAAUUUUCUCUUAAACCAACCUCUUUUCUUUAAGGACGCACUAAAAUGUUGCUGGCAUGUCAGUGUUCCCCUCAACUGGGGCAUUACCAUGUCCUCUACCCAUUGCUCCAGACUUACCUAUUCCCAUUCUCUCCUUCGUCAAUACAUACCUGCUUUCAGUCAUCCACCCAUCUAUCUGCUCACUCACCCAUUUAUAUAUAUUCUUACUAAUUAAAAUGAGUAACCUCUAGUGUGUUAGUGACAUAGGAAUAUACCACAAGAAUGAUUGAACCUGAAGAGAUGAUUCUUAUACAUUUAAUAAUUCAAUGUCUUAAUUUUUUUCAAACAUUUAUUUUUGCAGAGGCUUAUGUUUCCAUACAAGAAUUUUGGGAUCCACGUGGAGUGCAAGAGGUUGGAAAAGGAGUUCUCAAAAAAUAAAAUGUUCAGUGGGGCGCAGUGGCUCACGCCUCUGAUCCCUGCACUUCGGGAGGCUGAGGUGGACGGAUCACCAGGUCAGUAGAUCGAGACCAUCCUGACCAACAUGGUGAAACCCCAUCUCUACUAAAAAUACAAAAAAAAUUAGCUGGGUGCGUGGCGGGCGCCUGUAGUCCCAGAUACUAGGACGCUGAGGCAGGAGAAUGGCGUGAACCCGGGAGGCGGAGCUUGCAGUGAGCCGAGAUCAUGCCAAAGCACUCCAGCCUGGGUGACAGAGCGAGACUCUGUCUCAAAAAAAAUAAAAUAAAAUAAUAAAAAGUUCUUGUUUGCUCUACAAGAGUAGCUUAACUUCUUUCCAAAGUAUAUUUCUGGAUUCAUGUGAGAUUUGUAGUUUAAAAUGGGGUUAUAAAAGAAAAAAAAGAAAGAAUGCCACCACCUCAAUCCAAAUAAAUAAAUUCUCUUAAGACUGUGUCACAUCAGUGAUACAGAUAGGCUGGAAUAUCUUCUAAAAGGCUCUUACUAUAAAUGCGUAAUUCACAUUGGUCCCAAUUGUCUGUGAAUGCAUCAUCCUCGUGGUUUAAACCUAAGUUCCUGAAGUGCAAUCAAACUGCCUUGCUUCCUUGUCAAUGCUGAGUUGAGAUCAUGUUCCAUGUAGCCAAAAAUUGUGAAAAGAGGAUAGAAAGCUGAUGAGUACCUGUUUCACUUCAUCCAACAAAGCACUUGGUCAAUCCAAGCUGGCUGUCAAGGUUUCUGAAAUAGGGUACCCCUUCCAGAGGGCAGAAUAGAUCUUAAAUAAUGGUCCUAGGCUCUGCAAACAACUAGCUGGGCAGCUUUUAUUCUUAAUUGUUUAGGGUCAUGGGUUAUUCUGAUUUGCCAGGCCUGUGUCACUUGUCUACUUUCUAUAUAAGCAGAAUUACUAUGGGGUGAAGGAGAAAUGCAAAUAAAAAUUAUGCUAAUAAAGUAUUUAAGUAGGCAGUAUUUUCUCAAAAUGAAUGAUGCUGGGUUAACAUGCGCAUACAUGUAGUAGAAUAACAGAGCAAAAUAUUUGUAGUGGAUGACUUUCACUUCAGACAGAAACACAGUAUCCAUUUCCCA
RNAcentral lists this long non-coding RNA (5238 nucleotides) under Macaca mulatta (Rhesus monkey). Its description in RNAcentral is "lncRNA (ENSMMUG00000050634.1)". The record is from RNAcentral. Lineage: Eukaryota; Metazoa; Chordata; Mammalia; Primates; Cercopithecidae.